This 552-nucleotide long non-coding RNA is filed under the name Junco hyemalis (dark-eyed junco). RNAcentral describes it as "lncRNA (ENSJHYG00000014086.1)". The record is from RNAcentral. Lineage: Eukaryota; Metazoa; Chordata; Aves; Passeriformes; Passerellidae.
CACACACGGACCUUGGUUGAUCCAGAGGCACUGGAAAGAUAUGUACCAGGUUGCAGGAAGGAUGUGUACUGUCAGCAACUCUCAGAAGGCUGAACAAACGAGUCCCACAGCAGCCCUGGGAAGGAUCUCUGCUGUACCUUUUGGGAGGGCAGAUUUUUUACUGGAGGCUAGCACGUUUUGAUAUUACAGUGCUGGUGCUAUUCCAGAGGCUACUGGUGUUCAUAUUCAAAGGUUUAACUACUGCAAAGUCAGCUGGGAAUGUUGAAGUAUUCUCACUUGGGAACACUACUGCAAAUUUCUGAAAAGAAAUGAAGAAAACUCCUUUUCACACUAACAGAGCCCCAGAAAACCCUGUGCCAGUCAUGGCAUGCAAACAGAGCUCGAGACAAUAUUUCUCUUGAUACAAAAGACAGACAAAAGAUGGUGGGGGCAAAUAGGUCUGUAGCAAGUGAAGUGAUCUGCUGAGGAUCACCCAGAAUAUUCUUUGUAGUCACUGCAACUCUGUAUGCCAUUUGAAAGACAAAAGAAAAUAGCAAUAAAAGCAAGGUAAAA